This 393-nucleotide ribosomal RNA is filed under the name uncultured archaeon. Its description in RNAcentral is "bacterial SSU rRNA". It matches the Rfam family "Archaeal small subunit ribosomal RNA", at positions 355 to 747 of the family's 1478-position model. The record is from RNAcentral.
AUGCACGAAAGUGUGAUAGGGGGAUACUCAGUGCUUACGCUUAUGGUGUAGGCUUUUGUCGAUCGUAAAUAGAUCGGCGAAUAAGUGGUGGGCAAGACCGGUGCCAGCCGCCGCGGUAACCCCGGCGCCACAAGUGGUCAUCGCGAUUAUUGGGCCUAAAGCGUUCGUAGCCGGUCUGGUGAAUCUCUUGUGAAAUUGUUCGGCUUAACCGGACAGCGUGCAGGAGACACUGCCAGACUCGAGACCGGGAGGCGUAAGAAGUAUUCCAUGGGGACUGGUAAAAUGGGAUAAUCCAUGGAAGACUACCGAUGGCGAAGGCAUCUUACGAGAACGGAUCUGACGGUGAGGAACGAAAGCCAGGGGAGCGAACCGGAUUAGAUACCCGCGUAGUCC